UGGGGAAUAUUGCACAAUGGGCGCAAGCCUGAUGCAGCAACGCCGCGUGAACGAUAAAGGUCUUCGGAUCGUAAAGUUCUGUUGCAGGGGAAGAUAAUGACGGUACCCUGUGAGGAAGCCCCGGCUAACUACGUGCCAGCAGCCGCGGUAAUACGUAGGGGGCUAGCGUUAUCCGGAUUUACUGGGCGUAAAGGGUGCGUAGGUGGUCUUUCAAGUCGGUGGUUAAAGGCUACGGCUCAACCGUAGUUAGCCUCCGAAACUGGAAGACUUGAGUGCAGGAGAGGAAAGUGGAAUUCCCAGUGUAGCGGUGAAAUGCUUAGAUAUCAUGAAGAACUCCGAUUGCGAAGGCAGCUUACGGGAGCGCAACUGACGCUGAAGCUCGAAGGUGCGGGUAUCGAACAGG
This 403-nucleotide ribosomal RNA is filed under the name Verrucomicrobiota bacterium. Its description in RNAcentral is "Verrucomicrobia bacterium partial 16S ribosomal RNA". It matches the Rfam family "Bacterial small subunit ribosomal RNA", at positions 355 to 776 of the family's 1533-position model. The record is from RNAcentral. Lineage: Bacteria; Pseudomonadati; Verrucomicrobiota.